RNAcentral lists this ribosomal RNA (486 nucleotides) under Bacillus sp. (in: firmicutes). RNAcentral's name for it is "bacterial SSU rRNA". It matches the Rfam family "Bacterial small subunit ribosomal RNA", at positions 129 to 600 of the family's 1533-position model. Lineage: Bacteria; Bacillati; Bacillota; Bacilli; Caryophanales; Bacillaceae. The record is from RNAcentral.
CCCAUAAGACUGGGAUAACUCCGGGAAACCGGGGCUAAUACCGGAUAACAUUUUGAACCGCAUGGUUCGAAAUUGAAAGGCGGCUUCGGCUGUCACUUAUGGAUGGACCCGCGUCGCAUUAGCUAGUUGGUGAGGUAACGGCUCACCAAGGCAACGAUGCGUAGCCGACCUGAGAGGGUGAUCGGCCACACUGGGACUGAGACACGGCCCAGACUCCUACGGGAGGCAGCAGUAGGGAAUCUUCCGCAAUGGACGAAAGUCUGACGGAGCAACGCCGCGUGAGUGAUGAAGGCUUUCGGGUCGUAAAACUCUGUUGUUAGGGAAGAACAAGUGCUAGUUGAAUAAGCUGGCACCUUGACGGUACCUAACCAGAAAGCCACGGCUAACUACGUGCCAGCAGCCGCGGUAAUACGUAGGUGGCAAGCGUUAUCCGGAAUUAUUGGGCGUAAAGCGCGCGCAGGUGGUUUCUUAAGUCUGAUGUGAAAG